Molecule: ribosomal RNA, 373 nt
Filed under: uncultured bacterium
Lineage: Bacteria
Description: bacterial SSU rRNA
Rfam family: Bacterial small subunit ribosomal RNA
Source: RNAcentral
GACGAACGCUGGCGGCGUGCUUAACACAUGCAAGUCGAACGGUGAACCGGGCUUCGGCCCGGGGACCAGUGGCGAACGGGUGCGUAACACGUGGGCAACCUGCCUCAGACACUGGGAUAACCCCGGGAAACCGGGGCUAAUACCGGAUACUCCGACCGGACUGCAUGAUCCGGCCGGGAAAGCUCCGACGGUCUGAGAUGGGCCCGCGGCCUAUCAGCUUGUUGGUGGGGUAACGGCCCACCAAGGCGACGACGGGUAGCUGGUCUGAGAGGACGACCAGCCACACUGGAACUGAGACACGGUCCAGACUCCUACGGGAGGCAGCAGUGGGGAAUCUUGCGCAAUGGGCGAAAGCCUGACGCAGCGACGCCGC